AUGUGGCAGCAUCAUGGAACAAUCUUCAAAACCUUCAUCUUAUCAAUCCAUGCGUUGAAGGACUUGGCCGUGUUACGGAAUCCAAGGAAUCCAUGCUCCUUGCUCUUGUUCAUGCUAUCCAAAUGCUCACACUUGACAUUGAACACGGCAUCGAGGAACCACCAAUUGGCAAUCUCUUGGAGCUCAGUCGUGACAAGCUCGUUCUCCUGGAGGAUCUCUGCCCACACCGCCUCCUUCCCGGCCAUGGCGUCGGCGAGCAUGAACUGGCUGAUCUCUGCCCACACCGCCUCCUUCCCGGCCAUGGCGUCGGCGAGCAUGAACUGGCUGUCCUCUCCCUCGUAUCCCGCCCACUCCACCCCGAAUCGGUCAGCCACCAUCGGCCAGAGCUGCUUCCACUUGUAUAAAUCUCCAUUGCUGCAAUUGAAAGCCUCGUUCCUUGCCAACGGAUCGACGGCUGCCCAGAUCUCCUGCUCGGCGACAAGAUCCGCGUCGGAGGCGUCGCUGAAGCCCUCCCAUGCAACCCUGCUCCCAGGCCACCUCAGCAUGGCGCCCUCCUUGCGGCAGAUGGCGGCAUAG
This 576-nucleotide ribosomal RNA is filed under the name Triticum aestivum (bread wheat). Its description in RNAcentral is "partial small subunit ribosomal RNA". Lineage: Eukaryota; Viridiplantae; Streptophyta; Magnoliopsida; Poales; Poaceae. The record is from RNAcentral.